RNAcentral lists this ribosomal RNA (305 nucleotides) under uncultured bacterium. RNAcentral's name for it is "bacterial SSU rRNA". It matches the Rfam family "Bacterial small subunit ribosomal RNA", at positions 338 to 660 of the family's 1533-position model. The record is from RNAcentral.
CCUACGGGACGCAGCAGUGGGGAAUAUUGCACAAUGGGGGAAACCCUGAUGCAGCGACGCCGCGUGAAGGAAGAAGUAUUUCGGUAUGUAAACUUCUAUCAGCAGGGAAGAAAAUGACGGUACCUGACUAAGAAGCCCCGGCUAACUACGUGCCAGCAGCCGCGGUAAUACGUAGGGGGCAAGCGUUAUCCGGAUUUACUGGGUGUAAAGGGUGCGUAGACGGGACAGCAAGUUAGUUGUGAAAGCCCUCGGCUUAACUGAGGAACUGCAACUAAAACUAUUGUUCUUGAGUGCAGGAGAGGAAA